Molecule: transfer RNA, 73 nt
Filed under: Planctomycetota bacterium
Lineage: Bacteria; Pseudomonadati; Planctomycetota
Description: Planctomycetes bacterium tRNA-Ala
Rfam family: tRNA
About the family: Transfer RNA (tRNA) molecules are approximately 80 nucleotides in length. Their secondary structure includes four short double-helical elements and three loops (D, anti-codon, and T loops).
Source: RNAcentral
GGGCCCGUAGCUCAAUUGGGAGAGCGCUUCCAUGGCAUGGAAGAGGUCGUCGGUUCGAUCCCGAUCGGGUCCA